Molecule: ribosomal RNA, 201 nt
Filed under: uncultured bacterium
Lineage: Bacteria
Description: partial 16S ribosomal RNA
Rfam family: Bacterial small subunit ribosomal RNA
Source: RNAcentral
GCAGUCUGCAACUCGAGUGCAUGAAGCUGGAAUCGCUAGUAAUCGCGGAUCAGAAUGCCGCGGUGAAUACGUUCCCGGGUCUUGUACACACCGCCCGUCACACCAUGGGAGUCGGGAAUGCCCGAAGCCGGUGGCCCAAUCGAAAGAAGGGAGCCGUCGAAGGCAGGCCGGAUGACUGGGGUGAAGUCGUAACAAGGUAUC